This 440-nucleotide ribosomal RNA is filed under the name uncultured bacterium. RNAcentral describes it as "partial 16S ribosomal RNA". It matches the Rfam family "Bacterial small subunit ribosomal RNA", at positions 338 to 795 of the family's 1533-position model. The record is from RNAcentral.
CCUACGGGUGGCUGCAGUGAGGAAUAUUGGUCAAUGGGCGGGAGCCUGAUGCAGCGACGCCGCGUGAGUGAAGAAGUAUUUCGGUAUGUAAAGCUCUAUCAGCAGGGAAGAAAAUGACGGUACCUGACUAAGAAGCCCCGGCUAACUACGUGCCAGCAGACGCGGUAAUACGUAGGGGGCAAGCGUUAUCUGGAUUUACUGGGUGUAAAGGGAGCGUAGACGUGUAUGCAAGUCUGAAGUGAAAGCCCAAGGCUCAACCAUGGGACUGCUUUGGAAACUGUAAAACUGGAGUGCAGGAGAGGUAAGCGGAAGUCCUAGUGUAGCGGUGAAAUGCGUAGAUAUUAGGAGGAACACCAGUGGCGAAGGCGGCUUACUGGACUGUAACUGACGUUGAGGCUCGAAGGCGUGGGGAGCAAACAGGAUUAGAUACCCCAGUAGUC